ACCAUGAGUCCAAAUGUAAUGAUGAUUUAGAAAUUUAAAGUGUGAAAGGAACAACGAGAAUAAUUACAUUGAUGUUGAAUAUUAGCAAAUCUUUAGGAGUCAGUUUAUGCAACUUUGCUGUAAUAUGCUUUCGGAAAUAACCCUACCUCAAUUAGGUCUUUUGAGGGUUGUAACGUGGCUUGGUUCGUGGUUAUUGAAAC
Molecule: long non-coding RNA, 200 nt
Filed under: Lathyrus oleraceus (garden pea)
Lineage: Eukaryota; Viridiplantae; Streptophyta; Magnoliopsida; Fabales; Fabaceae
Description: Pisum sativum (pea) long non-coding RNA (PSAT_LNC017411)
Source: RNAcentral